RNAcentral lists this unclassified non-coding RNA (192 nucleotides) under rhizosphere metagenome. Its description in RNAcentral is "partial ribosomal RNA internal transcribed spacer region". The record is from RNAcentral.
GUAGGUGAACCUGCGGAAGGAUCAUUACCGAGAGAGGCCGUCCCUUAACUGGGCCGAGUCUGAAACCUCAAACCCCCUGUCUACCGACCCCAAUUUACAAACUCUUGUACAACAAUCAAAAGUCGUCCUUCGCGGGGCGCGUCUUUUAAUGUACGAAAAUUAAAACUUUCAACAACGGAUCUCUUGGUUCUG